CACGUAGGGACCAAGCGUUGUCCGGAUUUAUUGGGCGUAAAGAGCUCGUAGGCGGUGUGUCGCGUCGGCCGUGAAAACCUGCAGCUUAACUGUGGGCUUGCGGUCGAUACGGGCAUCACUGGAGUUCGGCAGGGGAGACUGGAAUUCCUGGUGUAGCGGUGAAAUGCGCAGAUAUCAGGAGGAACACCGGUGGCGAAGGCGGGUCUCUGGGCCGAUACUGACGCUGAGGAGCGAAAGCGUGGGGAGCGAACAGG
Molecule: ribosomal RNA, 254 nt
Filed under: uncultured bacterium
Lineage: Bacteria
Description: partial 16S ribosomal RNA
Rfam family: Bacterial small subunit ribosomal RNA
Source: RNAcentral